UCCCCGAAAUGGCAAUUACUUCCGAAAGGGGUAAGCGCAAAUCAGUAGACCUAGAGCUAUCCGCUACACAUACGGUAUGGUGGCUGCUGAUGCCGAA
This is a non-coding RNA of Pseudanabaena biceps PCC 7429, 97 nucleotides long. The record is from Rfam. Lineage: Bacteria; Bacillati; Cyanobacteriota; Cyanophyceae; Pseudanabaenales; Pseudanabaenaceae.